This 181-nucleotide ribosomal RNA is filed under the name uncultured bacterium. Its description in RNAcentral is "partial 16S ribosomal RNA". The record is from RNAcentral.
AUUACCGCGGCUGCUGGCACGGAGUUAGCCGGUGCUUAUUCAUAAGGUACCGUCGGCUGCAAUGAAAAUCGCAGGUUUCUUCCCUUAUAAAAGAAGUUUACAACGCAGAACGCCUUCAUCCUUCACGCGGCAUGGCUGGGUCAGACUUGCGUCCAUUGCCCAACAUUCCUCACUGCUGCCU